Acinonyx jubatus (cheetah) is the source of this 4096-nucleotide RNA transcript. RefSeq lists it as uncharacterized. The record is from RefSeq and is a predicted model, not a curated record. NCBI's taxonomy places the organism in Eukaryota, Metazoa, Chordata, Mammalia, Carnivora, Felidae. The transcript has 3 exons.
UUAGAAUCCAGCUGCAUGCUUUAAGGAAGUCCUGGCUAGCCAGUGGGAGUGUGGAGAUGCCUGGGAGAAUGAGACAGCUCAUGGAGAAGAACAGAGGUGCCCAGUUGAGCCCCCAGCUGAAUGCAGCCACGUGAGUAACACCAUGUGGAGCAGAAGAAUCUCCCAACCAACCCACAGGAUCAUGAAAAAUAAUAAAUCAAGAAAAACAGCCUGAACAAAGCAAACAUGAGGAUUUGUGGUGGCCUCGGUCUGGGACCUCAAAGAUGAAUGCAUUUUACCUUCAGGACAAGAAGGCUCUAUCCAGGACAGGAUUAGCCCCAAAGGCCGGGGACCCCCGUGGGGAAAACUUACAGCCUGUGGAUGUCAUGAGCAAGUGAGCAAUGGAGGUUCCCAGGAAGGAAUCCCUUCACCCAGAAAGAAGGGGGAAGCUGGCUGAGCCAUGAGCCUUGUGCAAGUUACUGAGGCCACACCUGCUCAGCUCUGGCUUGCGAGAAAGGCUUUUUCACUAUAGGCUGGCUUCUGCCCUGUCCACCCUACUACUUAGGUGAAAAUUUCCCAGGAAAUUGUAAUUUGGAAGGUCAGAAUGGUUUAGAAACUUGAAAGCAUUUAAGAGCCAUUCUGGAAGAGCUACACCAUAUUCUGUUGAUAGUACCUACAGUUCUCAGCACUUUAAGUGCAUUAUGUCAUUUAAUACCCACAGCAACCCUUUGAGAUGGAUCCUAUGAUUAUAUCAUUUUGCAGAAGAGAAAACUGAGGCUGUAAAUUACUCAGCUGUGGAUCAAGAAUUCAAUGAGCCUCUCUGUUGGAGAGUUGAAGUCCUUGGCACUUGAAUCUAACAGAGAGAGCCUGGGGGUGUAAGUGCCCCUUUCCCCCACCUCUCUAGUCUGUCUCUGUCACCUGGGUCUCCUCAGGCUUCCUGAAAUGGAACAAAGGCAGAACUGAGACUUCAGUGGUGGGUGUGUAUGUAGCCAGCAGGCGCUGUUGGCAUGGUGUUUUCAGCGGGAUCCUCCUCACUCCCAGUUUCGCUGUUGUCUGAUGUCGGGUUCUUGUAACCUCUGCAUGGAAAGCCCCUCCCUCUAAGGCCAUCAGCUCCCCCCCACCCCCACCCCACCACUUUGUGUAAAGGAGGCCUGGUACUGGGGUUUUUCAGAAAUGUGAAAUCAGCUGUGAGCAGCUGUGAGCGCCUGCAGCCCUUCCUGCUUCAGAAGAAACCAUACAAUACUCUGUUUUACAAUGACGUUUGUUUUUUAAGAACACAGAGUAGAAGAAAAAAAAAAAACCCAGAAGGGAUCUCCGUGUAGUUUGUGGCAGGAAAGGAACACACUAAGCAUAUGACAAAUGAGAGUUGUUAGAGGCAUCUUCUCACCCAUCACAGGCAGGUUGCUGCUGGUCCCUGGGGGCCCCAACAAAGCCCAUCUGGAAGACGGCCUGGAGGCUGAUUUGGCACAAGGUGCCUCCAUGCCCAGUGUGCUUCUGUGAAGGGUCCACUCCCUACCCUGCUGGAUGGAGGCAGGAUGCAAACAUCUCGUGACAGCUCACUCGCAGGAGAUGCUCUGAGAAAGAAGCAAGAGCCCAAAUCCUUAGCACCUGGAGAGAAUUAGGCUGCAUCGCCUUGUUUAUCACUGUGACCCCAGGCCCAAAACCUGGGUCCGACUUGUAGCAGGGGUCAAAAAUAUUUGCCGGUAAAUCAGAAGAACUAAAGAGAACUUUCCUACAUUAACAGGAAAUGGUGCAAUAACAUGGCCCCUGCUCAGCAGCUCUCCUCCCCGGGGUCCCUCCUAAAGCACAUGUUGUCGGGUGGUUGCUGGACACAGAGGCACAGAGAAGCUGGCAGCCUGCUCCAAGUCACUCCCCAAGUCUUUCCAGCCAUUCUAUUAGGAUCAAUGAGCUACUUUUUUGGAGGGGGUGAUUUUGUCCCAUCGUGUCCAUCCAAAACCUAGAGCCAUCCCAGAAGCACACUGGGCAUGGAGGCACCUUGUGUCACCAUUACUUAAGAAGUGCCUUGGGGCGCCUGGGUGGCUCAGUGUGUGAAGUGUCCGACUCUUGGCUUUGGCUCAGGUCAUGAUCUCAUGGUUUGUGGGUUCGAGCCCCACGUCGGACUCUGCACUGACAGCAUGGAACCUGCUUGGGAUUCUCUUUCUCUCUUUCUCUCUGCUCGUCCCCAUCUCCGCAUUCUGUUUCUCUCUCAAAAAAUAGGCAAACAUUAAAAAAAAAUCUUUAAAAAAGAAAUGCCAGCAUGGCCAUCCUCACAGAAGCUUUCUUGCCUUCCCUUUUGGUGAGAACUUACAUAAGCUCCCUGAAACUUGUGCUCACCAGGCCCCUGGAGGCUGCCCAAGGAGUCUGGCCCUAGCUAUACUGACCCAGGCAAACGUAGCUCUGAUGGUGGUUAUCAACUAGAGAGCUAGGACCCAUUGAUAACUGAGGUUCUGCCUUUAUCCCUGGAAAACCCCAGCGAGGCUGGGCACUCUGUGGCUGUUCGCUGGGGCUCCCCCCAAUUCAUCCCUACUCUGCCCAGGGAAACCAGGUCUUUCCUGUUCUUCUUCUGCUUCUCCUUUUCAUCUUCAUUCCAGUCCCCAGUAGAGCCUUAAUCACUGUAGCUCUUGGUAAAACCUACAUGACUGGGUUAACUCUGAGGUUUGCAGGUCAACUUGUGCAGUUAGGCCAGAUGCUGAUUUCUGUGUGAAAGAUGUCUAAUGCAGACAGUCUUCUUGUGGUAACCUCUCAGAAGGGGCAUGAAGAGCAUCACCAAAGUUUCUGCAACACCACUUGUCUUAUGGGACAAUGGCACAUUCCCUUCUCCUAAAUGUGUAUUUCCCUGUAUUCCCUUCACGUCCCUCUGGAUCUUGAGCCCUUGCAAGGGGAACCCCAGGAUACAGUUGCUGCAAGCUGGGCUGCUGAGAAGGGUUAAUUAUUGUUAGACAUUUGCAUUUUUUGUCCCCUUGACUGACUUUAGGACUCAAGGAUGAGGUCAGAAAGGCACAAAUGACAUUAACCUAAUGUACAGGGGUCACAUCCUGGACACCCACUUGACUCUUCAGCACCCCAGAAGCUUCCCACUUACCAAAAAAGGAGUAAAGGGGAGAUAAGCCCCAAAUACACUUCACUAUGAUCACGCCACCAUUAAUUACCUCUUACAAUAUUUCCUAACCAGCAGCAAACACCAGAACUACUGGGGAGCACCUCAAAAUACAUGUCCAGAGCAGCAUCCUGGGAACCUCUGAGUGAUUGAUCAAGAUUAGAAGCCAGGUUCGUGUUCUUCACAAGAGUUCCCCUGGUGGUUCUGAUGUGAAACCCUGGCUAAGAACACUAAGUCAGACAUUUCAGUUUAAAAAUCUUCACUGCUUACCCUCAUGAGAUGUGGGCAUAGAAAAGUGGUAUUACAGAGAAUUUGAAACCACACUGAGCUCAGUGACUUCCUUCUUGGUAGAGAGGUCAGUGGGCAAAAUAGUGCUUUUCGCUACCCAGGAGGCUCUUUUUCAGUCAGAAGCACCUGAUGCUUUCUCUAAAGCUAAGGUGAGGCAGGUUCCCAGGGCUAGAGGUGAGGUCUAAUGGAUAACCCACAAGCACGGUGAGAUUGUGCACCAGGGAACUUUGUAGGUUCCCCAACGUGUGCUGUGUGUGGCACUGAUGAUUUGGCCCGGGAAAUGUAAACACUUCAUGCAUACUCAGAGUUUGGGCCACCUGGGUUAGGGAUUGUCUGUGCUCUGAACUGGGGAAAGCAAGCACCCAUGGAGAGUUUGAACAAGGGGUCUUGACCAACACAUGACUAGCUGAGCAAGGCUCCUCUCCAGUUAAUGCUUCCCUCCAGGUAGGCUGUGCAAACACUUCAAAAAUGGGUAAGACCCUCCAUACCUUCACUUUUGGUAUUUCACCAGGAAAAUGUGGGCUUAAAUUUGCUCAUUAAAAAACUGAAAAUUUCCAUCAGGUUUUCAAAAUCCAUGCUUUUCAGUAUAGGUUUUUAGAAUUCAGAACUUAAUUUUUGCCUCGUCGUAUAAGUAAUACAUAAUCCAUUUAAAAAUUUGGAAAAUACAUUAAGGUAUAAGAAAUGAGAAAAAUUAUUCAUAACUGAUAUGAACACUUUGGAUUAUCUCUUGAA